Long non-coding RNA from Schistocerca piceifrons (Central American locust), 586 nucleotides. RefSeq lists it as uncharacterized. NCBI's taxonomy places the organism in Eukaryota, Metazoa, Arthropoda, Insecta, Orthoptera, Acrididae. The record is from RefSeq and is a predicted model, not a curated record. The transcript is spliced from 2 exons.
UGAGCUCUUAACAUGGAAAGUAAGCGUUUCCGGACACAUGUCCACAUAACAUAUUUUCUUUCGUUGUGUGUGAGGAAUGUUUCCUGGAAGUUUGGCCGUACCUUUUUGUAACACCCUGUAUACCAUGUAAUAGUGUGACAAUACCAUUAUCGUCAUCCUGACCAUCAAUGGAUCACAGUUACAGUUUUCAGAUGAAAGCUCAAAUGAGAAUGAUGCUGUGGGACCUUCCACAGGUAGUGGAAUACAUAUCACAGAGCAGAGUGAUACAGACUUUGCAGAAGAAACAGACUUGGUAGUUGAAGAACCGUCACAAGCAACAUCAUUGAGUGCAAACAGAGAGUACUACAUCAAGAUAUGCUGCACCAAGGAAAAUAAAGUGAAGUGAAAAAGGGAGCUGUUAAAGAGCCCUUCAGUUGAUUGCUGAAAGACUGCAGUCCAAUACUAAUGUUGAUGCAGAUACAUUUGUUAAAGAUUUGGUGUAGAAAUGAAAGCCAUUAAAAUCCAUGAAAUGAGGAUGAUGAUUAACUGCAAAUACUAAAACUUGUGUAUGAUGCUGUAGUCAGUCAAUAAACAUGGAAAUUUCAUA